RNAcentral lists this non-coding RNA (111 nucleotides) under Mycolicibacterium hassiacum. Its description in RNAcentral is "Mycobacterium hassiacum TPP sequence". It matches the Rfam family "TPP riboswitch aptamer (THI element)". From Rfam's summary of the family: Vitamin B(1) in its active form thiamin pyrophosphate (TPP) is an essential coenzyme that is synthesised by coupling of pyrimidine and thiazole moieties in bacteria. The record is from RNAcentral. Lineage: Bacteria; Bacillati; Actinomycetota; Actinomycetes; Mycobacteriales; Mycobacteriaceae. RNAcentral also lists the same sequence under 1 other name.
CCAUACACACGCGGGAGCGCACACCGAGUGCGCUGAGAGGACGGGUAGGCCCGUCGACCGUACGAACCUGACCGGGUAAUGCCGGCGUAGGGAGAUGCAUCCAUGACACUG